Molecule: ribosomal RNA, 468 nt
Filed under: uncultured bacterium
Lineage: Bacteria
Description: partial 16S ribosomal RNA
Rfam family: Bacterial small subunit ribosomal RNA
Source: RNAcentral
GAUGAACGCUGGCGGCGUGCUUAACACAUGCAAGUCGAACGGUGAAGGCGGAGCUUGCUCUGCUGGAUCAGUGGCGAACGGGUGAGUAACACGUGAGCAAUCUGCCCCUGACUCUGGGAUAAGCGCUGGAAACGGCGUCUAAUACUGGAUACGAGCUGCGAAGGCAUCUUCAGCAGCUGGAAAGAACUUCGGUCAGGGAUGAGCUCGCGGCCUAUCAGCUUGUUGGGGAGGUAACGGCUCACCAAGGCGUCGACGGGUAGCCGGCCUGAGAGGGUGACCGGCCACACUGGGACUGAGACACGGCCCAGACUCCUACGGGAGGCAGCAGUGGGGAAUAUUGCACAAUGGGCGAAAGCCUGAUGCAGCAACGCCGCGUGAGGGACGACGGCCUUCGGGUUGUAAACCUCUUUUAGCAGGGAAGAAGCGAAAGUGACGGUACCUGCAGAAAAAGCGCCGGCUAACUACGUG